GGUAGUGGGUCUCACAUGGGUUAUCUUUUAUCAAAGAUUUUUUAUAGUUUAGAAUUUCUUAAGAUGUUUUGGUAUUCGAUAGUUUGGAAUAUUGUGGUUAUAAUUUAACCAUUGCAGGGGAAUUUUACUGGAACGCUAAGUUUUUAGAUUAAGCUGUCUAGAUUGAGUUAUGGAUCUCGAAGAUUAUUUUUUGGAGCUGCAGUUGCGCCGAUUAUACCCAUUGUGAAGGCCGAAGAAUAGCUGAAGUAUUCAUCCCACCUUGUCUAAGUCGAAGUUUUUAUUCGGAAGAACCUACUGAUUUAUAUCCUCGACAUAGUAUCCACGACAUACAUGGUCUACUUUGUGAUUGCAGAUUUGUGUGUUGCAUUCCCAUGUUUAUCAUGCGGGGAGUAUUAGAGAUAUAUUAGAGAGCAAGAUUUGUAUUUUGCGAACCAACUGUUAUGGGUCGUUGAAGUCCGAUUAUGAAAUGAAACCCAUGAAAUAUAUGAAACCCAAAUGGAAGAAUAUUAUAUAAAUCUUAUUGAGAUAAGGAUUAGAUAAUUUAGAUAUAUAUCAUACGAUUUGGAUAAGUUCUAUUACUAGUUGAAAUAUGUCUAAGUCUUGUGUAUUAAGACACAACACAACACAAUAUACUUCUCUCUUGUAGGUUAUUAAGACACAACACAAUAAUUUAUCAUAUUCUAUUAUACUUUACAAUAUUUAAUAG
RNAcentral lists this long non-coding RNA (706 nucleotides) under Brassica napus (rape). RNAcentral describes it as "long non-coding RNA (BNAP_LNC011670)". Lineage: Eukaryota; Viridiplantae; Streptophyta; Magnoliopsida; Brassicales; Brassicaceae. The record is from RNAcentral.